AUGGGAAUGGGCUCUGUAUUUACACGUUACGCCGGCUUACGGUGUUUGUUUAUUCAAAACACACUUGGUUUGAACGCGUAUCGACAUAUAGAAAAUGCAAUCAACUACAAUAGCUGGAACAAGACACUAUACCGCGAACAAUCAACAUCUGUUCGCCUCGCAUAUUCGAUUUACAGCAAAGAGGGACGUAGUUCUGGAUCCCCUGUGUUAAUAGUGCACGGGUUGAUGGGCUCUAGAAUGAACUGGAAUUCAGUCUCCAAAGCAAUAGUCUCCAAAAUUAACCGGAAUGUGAUUGCCAUAGACGCACGGAAUCACGGAGAUAGUGCACAUUCGCCUGACAUGACAUACGGUCAUAUGGUAGAGGAUCUUCGUCUGUUUGUUGAUGAACUUAAACUGGGUCGUGUAUGUCCAAUUGGACAUAGUAUGGGUGGAAAGGUGGUGAUGCUGUUUGCUCUAACGCACCCAGAACUUGUGGAAAAGCUUGUUGUAGUUGAUGUUUCUCCAAGGAGAGUCAGUCCAAGUUUCACCACAGUUAAAAAAUACUUAGAGGCUAUGCAGCAAAUAAAGUUUGGAAAAAGCAUGUCAAUGUCAGCUGCUCGUAAGCUUAUAGAACAGAAAUUGUCUCCCAUUGUAAAAGUACCAGCUGUCUGUCAGUUCCUUGCCAUGAAUGUAACUCAGGCAGAAAAUGGUGAGAUGAAGUGGAAAGUAAAUCUGGAUACACUUGUAGACACUUUUGAUGAAAUUUCUUCAUUUCCAGCAACAGACAAAGUUUUUGAAGGUCCAACCUACUUCAUAGGUGGAGGUGAUUCUGAUUAUAUAAGCUGACUCCAGAUCUAGAAGUGCACACAGCAACACUGAAAUUGGAUGGCUGGUGAACACCUCAUGACAAACAUUCCAUAGGUGUAGUACCAGUUCAUACUGUCCGAUGGCCACAAUAUUUUGUUGGUCAGACAUGUUGCCAUUGUCAGGCACUCAGUUACGAGCAGUGUGUCCAGAGAUGGGUACACUGAACACACUUUGGAGAAGAGGGGAACCCUAGAAAAGAAGAUGAGCAGGAAAUUAAGAAAAUCUUCCCAUCAGCAACUUUCAAGUACAUUCCCGGUGCUGGACACUGGGUACAUGCAG
Molecule: RNA transcript, 1125 nt
Organism: Schistocerca gregaria
Lineage: Eukaryota; Metazoa; Arthropoda; Insecta; Orthoptera; Acrididae
Gene name: protein ABHD11-like
Exons: 7
Source: RefSeq, a predicted model, not a curated record